GCGCGAAACCUCUACAAUGCACGCAAGUGUGAUAGGGUAACCCCUCGUGCCUACCGACAAGGUAGGCUUUUGUAUAGCUUAGUGCGCUAUACGAAUAAGUGGUGGGCAAGACCGGUGCCAGCAGCCGCGGUAAUCCCGGCGCCACAAGUGGAAGUCACUUCUAUUGGGUCUAAAGUAUUCGUAGCCGUUUUUAUAAGUUUCUUGUGAAAGCCCUGUAGCUUAACUCAGGAAUUGCAAGAAAUACUGUAAAAAUUGGGACUGGGAGAGGUAUGAGGUAUUGUUUGGGUAGCGGUAAAAUGUUAUAAUCCUUACAAGACCAACUAAUGCGAAGGCAUCAUACUUGAACAGAUCCGACGGUGAGGAAUGAGAGCUGGGGGAGCAAACCGG
This 387-nucleotide ribosomal RNA is filed under the name uncultured archaeon. RNAcentral describes it as "bacterial SSU rRNA". It matches the Rfam family "Archaeal small subunit ribosomal RNA", at positions 339 to 727 of the family's 1478-position model. The record is from RNAcentral.